AGAGCGAACGCUGGCGGCGUGCUUAACACAUGCAAGUCGAACGCGCAGCAUUCUGUAGCAAUACAGGGUGUGGGCGCGUGGCGAACGGGUGCGUAACACGUGGAUAACCUUCCUUGAGGUGGGGAAUAACCCAGUGAAAAUUGGGCUAAUACCGCAUAACAUCGCGAUGGCACAUGCUGAUGCGAUCAAAAGGCGCAAGUCGCCACAAGAGGGAUCCGCGGCCGAUUAGCUUGUUGGCGAGGUAAUGGCUCACCAAGGCAAUGAUCGGUA
This 270-nucleotide ribosomal RNA is filed under the name uncultured bacterium. RNAcentral describes it as "partial small subunit ribosomal RNA". It matches the Rfam family "Bacterial small subunit ribosomal RNA", at positions 26 to 285 of the family's 1533-position model. The record is from RNAcentral.